CAGCAGCCGCGGUAAUACGGAGGGUCCGAGCGUUAUCCGGAAUUAUUGGGUUUAAAGGGUCCGUAGGCGGGCCGUUAAGUCAGGGGUGAAAGUCUGCGGCUCAACCGUAGAAAUGCCCUUGAUACUGGCGGUCUUGAGUGAUGGUGAAGUGGGCGGAAUAUGUAGUGUAGCGGUGAAAUGCAUAGAUAUUACAUAGAACACCGAUUGCGAAGGCAGCUCACUAACCGUGGAUUGACGCUGAUGGACGAAAGCGUGGGGAGCAAACGGGAUUAGAUACCCCGGUAGUCCUGGCUGUAAACGAUGGAUACUAGCUGUCCGGUGCCUUGAGUACUGGGCGGCCCAGCGAAAGUGAUAAGUAUCCCACCUGGGGAGUACGUUCGCAAGAAUGAAACUCAAAGGAAUUGACGGGGGCCCGCACAAGCGGUGGAGCAUGUGGUUUAAUUCGAUGAUACGCGAGGAACCUUACCAGGGCUUAAAUGCAUUUUGACAGGGUCUGAGACGACUUUUCCUUCGGGCAAUUUGCAAGGUGCUGCAUGGUUGUCGUCAGCUCGUGCCGUGAGGUGUCAGGUUAAGUCCUAUAACGAGCGCAACCCCUACCGUUAGUUGCCAGCAUGUAAUGAUGGGGACUCUAGCGGGACUGCCGGUGCAAACCGCGAGGAAGGUGGGGACGACGUCAAGUCAUCACGGCCCUUACGUCCUGGGCCACACACGUGCUACAAUGGCUGGUACAGAGGGCAGCCAUGCGG
Molecule: ribosomal RNA, 746 nt
Filed under: uncultured bacterium CLEAR-5
Lineage: Bacteria; Pseudomonadati; Bacteroidota; Flavobacteriia
Description: bacterial SSU rRNA
Rfam family: Bacterial small subunit ribosomal RNA
Source: RNAcentral